GAUGAACGCUAGCGGCAGGCUUAACACAUGCAAGUCGAGGGGCAGCACGGGUAGCAAUACCUGGUGGCGACCGGCGCAAGGGUGCGUAACGCGUGAGCAACAUGCCCUAUACAGGGGGAUAAUCCAGGGAAACUUGGUCUAAUAUCCCAUAGCAUUUAGAGGAGGCAUCUUCACUAAAUUAAGGCUUCGGUGGUAUAGGAUUGGCUCGCGUGACAUUAGCUAGAUGGUGAGGUAACGGCCCACCAUGGCUAUGAUGUCUAGGGGUUCUGAGAGGAAGACCCCCCACACUGGGACUGAGACACGGCCCAGACUCCUACGGGAGGCAGCAGUGAGGAAUAUUGGACAAUGGAUGGAAAUCUGAUCCAGCCAUGCCGCGUGCAGGAAGACGGCCCUAUGGGUUGUAAACUGCUUUUAUAUGGGAGCAAUAAGGUUUACGAGUAGACCGAUGAGAGUACCAUAUGAAUAGCAUCGGCUAAC
RNAcentral lists this ribosomal RNA (477 nucleotides) under uncultured bacterium. Its description in RNAcentral is "bacterial SSU rRNA". It matches the Rfam family "Bacterial small subunit ribosomal RNA", at positions 28 to 501 of the family's 1533-position model. The record is from RNAcentral.